GAUGAACGCUGGCGGCGUGCCUAAUACAUGCAAGUCGAGCGAACAGACGAUGAGCUUGCUCCUCUGACGUUAGGGGCGGACGGGUGAGUAACACGUGUAUAACCUACCUAUAAGACUGGUAUAACUUCGGGAAACCGGAGCUAAUACGGUAUAAUAUAUUGAACCGCAGUGUUCAAUAGUGAAAUUCGGUGUUUCGGUCACUUAUAGAGGGAUCUGCGCCGCAUUAGCUAGUUGGUAAGGUAACGGCUUACCAAGGCGACGAUGCGUAGCCGACCGGCGAGGGUGAUCGGCCACACUGGAAGUGAGACACGCUCAUGGCGCCUGCGGGAGGGAGCAGUCGGGAAUCUUACGCAGUGGGCGAAAGCCUGACGCAGCGACGGCGAGUGAGUGAUGAAAGUCUCCGGAGCGUAAAAAUCUGUUAUUAGGGAAGAACAGCUUUGGCAGUAACUAUGGCCGUCUUGACGGUAACUAAUAAGAAAGCCACGGCUAACUACGUG
Molecule: ribosomal RNA, 497 nt
Filed under: uncultured bacterium
Lineage: Bacteria
Description: partial 16S ribosomal RNA
Rfam family: Bacterial small subunit ribosomal RNA
Source: RNAcentral